AAUUGUUAGAUUUUUCAUAUUGUGAAAACUUUGGGAGUCUUCCAGAUAGGAUUUGUAGCUUAACCUCUCUUCAAACUCUUUUGUUGAAAAAGUGUUCAAAAUUGAAGGCCUUUCCAGAUAUCAAUAUUGGAAGUCUAAAAGCUCUUAAAUUGUUAGAUUUGUCAUAUUGCGAAAACCUUAAGAGUCUUCCAGACAGUAUUUGUAGUUUGACCUCUCUUCAAACUCUUUUUUUGAAUGGGUGUUCAAAAUUGAAGGCCUUUCCAGAUAUCAAUAUUGGAAGUCUAAAAGCUCUUGAAUUGUUAGAUUUGUCAUAUUGCAAAAACCUUGAGAGUCUUCCGCAUAGUAUUUGUAGUUUGACCUCUCUCCAAACACUUUUGUUGAAUGGGUGUUCAAAACUGAAGGCCUUUCCAGAUAUCAAUAUUGGAAGUCUAAAAGCUCUUAAAUUGUUAGAUUUGUCUUAUUGCAUAUACCUUGAGAGUCUUCCGCACAGUAUUUGUAGUUUGACCUCUCUUCAAACUCUUUUGUUGAAUGGGUGUUCAAAAUUGAAGGCCUUUCCAUGUAUCAAUAUUGGAAGUCUAAAAGCUCUUAAAUUGUUAAAUUUGUCAUAUUGCGAAAACCUUGAGAGUCUUCCGGAUAGUAUUUGUAAUUUGACCUCUCUUCAAACUCUUUUGCUGAAUGGGUGUUCAAAACUGAAGGCCUUUCCAGAUAUCAAUAUUGGAUGUCUAAAAGCCCUUGAAUUGUUAGACUUCUCAUAUUGCAAAAACCUUGAGAGUCUUCCGCACAGUAUUUGUAGUUUGACCUCUCUUCAAACUCUUUUGCUGAAUGGGUGUUCAAAACUAAAGGCUUUUCCAGAUAUCAAUGUUGGAAGUCUAAAAGUUCUAGAAUUGUUAGAUUUGUCAUAUUGCGAAAGCCUUGAGAGUUUUCCGGACAGUAUUUGUAGUUUGACCUCUCUUCAAACUCUUUGGCUGAAUGGGUGUUCAAAACUGAAGGUCUUUCCAGAUGUCAAUAUUGGAAGUCUAAAAGCUCUUGAAUUGUUAGAUUUGUCAUGUUGUAAAAAGCUUGAGAGUCUUCCGAUGAGCAUUUGCAAUUUGAGCUCUCUCAAAACUCUGCGGAUUAAAGAUUGUCCAAAACUCAAGGGAAUAUUAAAGAUGAACCUAGGGGUUGAUUUAUGCUCCUCGAGAUCUUUGAAUCUGACUUGUCACAUUUCAAAUUCAGGAGUAAUCUGGGAUAAUGACUGCUUUUCCUCAUUAAAAGCAUUAAAUCCAUGGUGCCCCCUGUCAUCACUGGUAGAAUUAUCUGUAAGAAACUCUAAUCUCAUGGAACGAGACAUCCUCAGUGCUAGUUUUCGCUUAUCCUCAAUGCAAAUAUUAUCUCUAAGGAACUUCCCUUUGAUGGUAGGAGGAAUCCUUGAUGACAUUUUCCAUCUAUCUUCAUUGGUAGAAUUAUCUCUUAGUGAAUGCAAUCUGAUGGAAGUAGGAACCCUCCAUUAUGUUUGGAACCUAUCUUCACUGCUAAGAUUAUAUCUAAGAAACUGUAAUCUAAUGGAAGGAGAGAUCCCCAAUCAUAUUUGGCACCUAUCAUCAUUG
RNAcentral lists this long non-coding RNA (1586 nucleotides) under Vitis vinifera (wine grape). Its description in RNAcentral is "long non-coding RNA (VVIN_LNC006293)". The record is from RNAcentral. Lineage: Eukaryota; Viridiplantae; Streptophyta; Magnoliopsida; Vitales; Vitaceae.